This 72-nucleotide transfer RNA is filed under the name Trichonephila inaurata madagascariensis. It matches the Rfam family "tRNA". From Rfam's summary of the family: Transfer RNA (tRNA) molecules are approximately 80 nucleotides in length. Their secondary structure includes four short double-helical elements and three loops (D, anti-codon, and T loops). Lineage: Eukaryota; Metazoa; Arthropoda; Arachnida; Araneae; Nephilidae. The record is from Rfam by way of RNAcentral.
GGGGGUAUAACUUAGUGGUGGAGCAUUCAACUGCAGAUCGAGAGGUCCCCGGUUCAAACCCGGGUGCUCCCU